This 495-nucleotide ribosomal RNA is filed under the name uncultured bacterium. RNAcentral describes it as "partial 16S ribosomal RNA". It matches the Rfam family "Bacterial small subunit ribosomal RNA", at positions 28 to 507 of the family's 1533-position model. The record is from RNAcentral.
GACGAACGCUGGCGGCGUGCCUAAUACAUGCAAGUAGAACGCUGAAGGAGGAGCUUGCUUCUCUGGAUGAGUUGCGAACGGGUGAGUAACGCGUAGGUAACCUGCCUGGUAGCGGGGGAUAACUAUUGGAAACGAUAGCUAAUACCGCAUAACAGUAGAUAUCACAUGAUAUCUACUUGAAAGUUGCAAUUGCAUCACUACCAGAUGGACCUGCGUUGUAUUAGCUAGUUGGUGAGGUAACGGCUCACCAAGGCGACGAUACAUAGCCGACCUGAGAGGGGGAUCGGCCACCCUGGGACUGAGACACGGCCCAGACUCCUACGGGAGGCAGCAGUAGGGAAUCUUCGGCAAUGGACGGAAGUCUGACCGAGCAACGCCGCGUGAGUGAAGAAGGUUUUCGGAUCGUAAAGCUCUGUUGUAAGAGUAGAACGAGUGUGAGAGUGGAAAGUUCACACUGUGACGGUAUCUUACCAGAAAGGGACGGCUAACUACGUG